This 832-nucleotide ribosomal RNA is filed under the name Peniophora cinerea. Its description in RNAcentral is "partial large subunit ribosomal RNA". It matches the Rfam family "Eukaryotic large subunit ribosomal RNA", at positions 72 to 935 of the family's 3401-position model. Lineage: Eukaryota; Fungi; Basidiomycota; Agaricomycetes; Russulales; Peniophoraceae. The record is from RNAcentral.
GGAUUCCCCUAGUAACUGCGAGUGAAGCGGGAUGAGCUCAAAUUUAAAAUCUGGCGUCUUCGGCGUCCGAGUUGUAAUUUAGAGAAGCGUUUUCCGCGCCGGACCGUGUACAAGUCUCCUGGAACGGAGCGUCAUAGAGGGUGAGAAUCCCGUCUUUGACACGGACCCCCGGUGCUCUGUGAUACGCUCUCGAAGAGUCGAGUUGUUUGGGAAUGCAGCUCAAAAUGGGUGGUGAACUCCAUCUAAAGCUAAAUAUUGGCGAGAGACCGAUAGCGAACAAGUACCGUGAGGGAAAGAUGAAAAGCACUUUGGAAAGAGAGUGAAACAGUACGUGAAAUUGUUGAAAGGGAAACGCUUGAAGUCAGUCGCGUCCGCCGGGAUUCAGCCUUCGGGUGUACUUUCCGGUGGACGGGCCAGCAUCACUUUCAAUCAUCGGACAAGGUCGAGAGGAAUGUGGCACCUUCGGGUGUGUUAUAGCCUCUUGUCGUAUACGGUGACUGGGAGUGAGGACCGCCUUUGUAGGAUGCUGGCGUAAUGGCUUUAAACGACCCGUCUUGAAACACGGACCAAGGAGUCUAACAUGCCCGCGAGUGUUUGGGUGGAAAACCCAUGCGCGUAAUGAAAGUGAAAGUUGGGAAGGCUGUCGCGGCCUGCACCGACGCCCGGACUCGAGAUUUAUCUAAGGUUCUGCGGUAGAGCGUGUAUGUUGGGACCCGAAAGAUGGUGAACUAUGCCUGAAUAGGGUGAAGCCAGAGGAAACUCUGGUGGAGGNNNNNNNNAUUCUGACGUGCAAAUCGAUCGUCAAAUUUGGGUAUAGGGGCGAAAGACUAAU